GGAGAGGUGACCGAGAGGCCGAAGGUGCACGACUGGAAAUCGUGUGUCCCUUCACGGGGACCGCGGGUUCGAAUCCCGCCCUCUCCG
This 87-nucleotide transfer RNA is filed under the name Myxococcales bacterium. RNAcentral's name for it is "tRNA-Ser". It matches the Rfam family "tRNA". Rfam says of the family: Transfer RNA (tRNA) molecules are approximately 80 nucleotides in length. Their secondary structure includes four short double-helical elements and three loops (D, anti-codon, and T loops). Lineage: Bacteria; Pseudomonadati; Myxococcota; Myxococcia; Myxococcales. The record is from RNAcentral.